CCCCCCUGCGAUUUUCCUUCUCCUCCAUGCGACAGAACAGCCAGCCAUUGUUGGCUGGCAAGCUUGCUCAUCUGGCUGCCAUUUUCAACACCAUAAGCAGCAAAAUCGUCCUCUUUCUUCCCUUUUUAAAGCCUCCUACAAUUUCAGAUCAAAACCACCAAGUUUGAGCUCAAUUUUGAGCCAAACCCGAGCCCAAAAACUGGGUUGUUUUGAACAGUGGCUGUUCGUGGUCUUUUCCGAUCAAUUCCGGCUGCCACAACUCAGGUAAUUGCACCUAAAACACUCUUAUACCUUCUCUUUGUGUUACCCUUUGAAAAUCCAACGAGAAUCCAUUCAAAUUUCUUUGAUUUUGAAACUAAAAAUUCUAGGUUUUCAAGAGACAGAAAGCUUCGUUCGAGGGCUUUAGAGAUGGAAUUGAUCGUCGAGCCAAGGUAUAAAGUUACUCCCCUUGAUGUGCUUAAUCCGUAGGUGUGAUUAUUGGCCGGCGGUUUGGAGUUUCCCGAUCGCCGAAAAAUUGCUCAAUGCACCCACCGGCGGUGGCGGUGCGUGGUAGUGCAUCACCGGGGUGUCAAUGUUAGGUUUUUGUCUUAGAAUGUUCGCUACGUCAUCUUGAGCAUGACGGUAUGCUCGGAUUUCAACUUGGCUAUCGUUCGGUCGUCGAUCGGAUAUCUCAUAUUAGGCGUUAUCCGAGUUUGAUAUAUCCCGACUGUUGGAUUAACUUCAUUUUCAAAUAUGUUAAUCUAGACACCUCUAGGAUUGUGUAGAAAUUCACGGAUCGAGAAUCGGAGUCCCGGAUACUCCGAUUUAAUAUUUCAAAGAUUAAGUUAAACAAUAACCAUCCGACCGUAUGAUCAUGAGCAAUCCGACAGUCCGAUUCGGACCAGACUUACAGGACAUAGUUAUUUAAAUGUGAGGAACUUAUAGGAACUCUCGGAUUGGUAAUUGGAGGUCGUGGACCCCACGAGGUCCUGGAUUGACCAAUAUGGAAGUUUAUCACUUAGUGAGUCUCGGGCCUUUUAAGACAGCUCUAACCAUAUGAAAUGCUUAAGUGGGCAUAAGAAUGACUUUAAAGUUAGUGUACGCACUUCUAGGAGCCGGAGUUUAGGAUUUUAAUUAAAUACUUAUACCAAGCAGUUUUAUUAAUUAAUUAUUCAUGGUGGUUUAAUCAGGCAUCCGGGGCCAGACAGACCCGUAGGAGGGACCUUCAGGAGGUCCAGCUAUCUCGGACCAGGAGUGAGUGGACUUUUCUUUUAUAAAUGAUUUUAUGCAAAUGAAUUUCAUUAUUUGAUCUUGAAUAAGUUUUAUUGAUCAUGGUUUUCCUAGCAUGAUUUGUUGAAGUUAAAUAUCUUUAUUUAUUUGCUGCCUAGUUGAAAAUGCUAAAAAGAUAUGGAAAGUAAAGAUUGAGAUAUUUAUCAGAUAAAAUGGCAGCAGAGUUCUAGAUUUAACAAAAAUUCAGUUAUUCAUCAGACCUUUCAGAAAUUUUAUAUUUUCUUAAGCCACCUUAGGUACCCAGUUAUAGAAACAGGUGGCCUUUGGUAUAUGUUGCCUUCGGAUAUGACGAUGUCCACGGACAUCCAAGUUGCCUUCAGUUUUGUCAGCGCGCUUGACAUCUGCCUCACGAGCAAGGUCUAAAAUAUCGAUGAUAUCGGAAAUAUCGGUAGUCCAAAAAUAUGAAAAUUUCGAUGGAAAUAUCGGGAUAUUAUCGAUAUCGAUAAAAAUUGAAUAAAAACCACGGAAAUUGUAAGAAAAACUUGGAAAUUUUCAUUGAAACUUUGGAGAAUGUUUAUUUAGUCAAUUAUCUAUGAGUUUAUCACAAAAAAUUAGAAGGAAAUGCAUUGCAUGAUGGAUUUAACUAAUUUUAAGUUGAUUAUACAGCAAGCGGGCAAACACUAUGAGUGUAAAAAAUAUGUAAUAAUUAAUGAAAAAAGAUUAAAUACACCGUAAUCAUUUAUAUAUAAUGAUUUACUAUAAUAUUUUACACUUUAUACAUUGCAUGGUAAGAUACAUGAGUGACUUAGUACCACAUAGAGUUCCUACGAGGUUCAAAUUUUUCACUAUCUUCAUCAUCUCUAUGUGUAGAAUAAGUGUAUUGUGAAGAGUAGUCAUCAAAUGAUAAAUCCCCAAAAUAGUUUUGCAUGUAAUUGUUAACAUACCACCCAUAUAAAUAUAAAUAUUUUAGCAUAUUAUCACAAAAAAAUAAGUGAUAUGGUGUUUAAGGUGUUGGAGGAGUAAAAUGGGAGGGGUUCAUAUCCCCUUUGUGCUUUUUUCUCCCAUUUUUCCCUUUUUUUAAAAAAAAACUUUUUUUUUUCCUUCACAUCGAUAUUUUCGAUAUUUUCGAUAUUUUAGCGAUAUUACACCGAUAUUUUGACAAAAUAUUGCUGAAAUGUGAGCGAAAUUAUCGACAUCAAUAUUUUCCGAUAUUAUCGUCGAUAUUGUCGAUAUUUAUACGAUAUGUACAUGGAUAUGUUCCGAAAUAUCCGUGAUUCGAAAAAACUGAAAUAUCCUCGAUAUUUCCUCGAUAUUAUCAAUAUUUCAGACUAUGCUCACGAGUUUCGGGGACCCGGGACCGUGGGAGCCAGGAAUGCGAAUCAGGCUGACUACGGUCCUCUGAAUCCUGCCAGUUUGCGGCUCAGGUUGACUUUGUGUCACCGAGACUUGCCAAGGGAAUUGACGGAUAUCAGGAAAUUGACAGAAUUAAAGGGGUACACCUAGGUGGUAGUUUUAAAUUGAUUUCAAUGCUUUUAAGAGAGUUUUAUUGACCUUGAAUAUGAUUGGCAUAUACGUAUAUAAAUAUGUGAAUGCAUUGAUUUUAGUACGAAUAUAACGAAGAGGAAAAUUUAGUUUUGCAUAACUGUUUUUACAGUGGGUUAGUAUGUUCCUAUGCUAUUUUGCUUAAAACUUUGUUUUUGGGUCCACUCACCUUUUAAAUGUUCUGCGUCCCAGGCAAUAGACGUGCACCAGAGCGCCACCACCGGGCAGAUUCCAUAAUCCGCUCCACUCUUCCUCUUAUAUAGAAUUUUCUUUUGAAAUCAAAUUGUUCUGUUGUAUAUUCCUGAAUUAGUUGCUCUGAUGAUUUGCCCUAGGACUUUCUGUGUGGCCUAAGGCCGUUUAGUUUAUCAGAACUGUUUGGAUCUUAAAUUCGAAGCAUAUUGGCAGUUGGGAUAUGUAUAUUUAUGCUUUUGACAUGUGGAAAUUCUGGGAAAUGAUCAAAUUGCAGGGGAAACUUUGCCGAAUUUUCGGUAGAAGUUGAAAUUGUAAUAAACUUGAAUUUUAACUAGAAGGGC
This 3284-nucleotide long non-coding RNA is filed under the name Prunus dulcis (almond). RNAcentral describes it as "sRNA ncRNA". Lineage: Eukaryota; Viridiplantae; Streptophyta; Magnoliopsida; Rosales; Rosaceae. The record is from RNAcentral.